Arachis ipaensis is the source of this 2243-nucleotide non-coding RNA. NCBI's taxonomy places the organism in Eukaryota, Viridiplantae, Streptophyta, Magnoliopsida, Fabales, Fabaceae. The record is from RefSeq and is a predicted model, not a curated record.
UUUUUUUCUCUUUUGUUUUUUCAAUUCUUCUCCUCACUCUUGCUCUUUCCCAAUUCCCAUUUUUUCAUUUUCCAUUUCAUCCCUUUCCAUUUCAUAAGUUUCUUUUUCCUUUUGAUUUCGCACAAAAAUACAGAACCAAACCUUGAGUUUCAGUUCUGCAGAAGGCUCAACCACGGAAGAAACAAAUUGGUUGGAAAAGCUGGUGGUGCUAGGUGGAAGUCCAUGUUCUUUGCUGUGAGCAAAGCAAACAUGUUCUCUGAUUCUCUUUUAUUAUUCUUCUUUCUUCGGAUAACAAUUAUUUCGAAUUUUUGUUGUUGUUGUUUUACGAUUUACUCUCUAAUUCAUUAUAUUAUCAUCUUUCAGGAAAAAAACUUCAUAUCAAGCAAAUGCUAGAGAACAAACUAGCAUCUGAGGAGGAUAUAAGGGCCUACAAUAAAGGAUUGAUAAUUGCUUUAACUCAAUAUUUUGAUUCUCUCUUGUGAUUCAUACUAAUCUUAUGGUUGAGCUCUUAAUGUUUUAGAAUGAGAGUGGAGAUUCUAAUAAGUCAAAAUCUGUGGUAAAUGACGAUUAUGAUGAUAAAGAGAGAAUGAGGGAAGUAGCAGCUAUGGUGAAGGAAGAGGCCUUGGAGUGGGAGGAAAUAAUUUCAUUCAUCAUCAAUCUUCAUAUAGUUUUGAGAGUUGAUUGACAAUAUAGUUUGAUCAUCUUAAUUUUCUGCUUACUUUUAUGUGUGAAGAUCAUAAAAUUUGAAGUUUAGUAGGGUUCCGUAAUUACCAUUUAUGUUUGAACAAAUUCUUUAGUAAUUUUUUCAUUCAAAAAUUUAGAAUCCUCAACUCUAUUACUUUUUAUUUCUCCGCAACUUUAUUUAUUUUUAACUUUGAAAGAGAUUUAAUUUAUAACUUUGUCAAACAAUAUUUAUAAUUCUUAUGGAUAACUGGAUAAGGUUUAAUUGUUAUACUUAGGAGUACUAAAUCUUCUUAGGAUACUAUUGAAAGAAAUGUUUGGCAAUCUAAGUUUACUAACUAAUUCUUUUUUAUUUAGUCCUCUUCUUGAUAGAAUUUUUCACUUAUAUGUUUAUUCUGUUUUUAAAUUUGAAGAAUCAAAGAAAGAAUUUGUACCAUUGCCUCGCGAUUAUUUUAUUUUUGGGAUAUGUGAUUUACUGUCAAAACUUAUAUUUCAUUGUUAAAAUGAAAAGAAUAAGUUGAUUGGUAUUGGAGAUUAAGAGAAACGAAUUUUAAAAUUUAAAAGAAUAAUUUUAGAAUUGAUGUAAAAGAGGAAAAAAAAUAUUUUAGUUGUUUCUCAAACAUAAAAAAGGUAUAGUCAUAAUGUUAAUAAUAAAUGUGAUGAAAUUGUGUAUAUGUAAUUGAUAAUUUUUAACUCUUUAUCCAGAGAAUCAAAUAAAUUAUUAUAAUAGAAUAAUAAACAUUUGAUGAGAUGAAUUAUUUAUUGGCUAAUUAUAUAGUACAUAUUUAUGUAUACAGAUGCAAAAAUUUGUUGACAAGUGUGCAAUAUAUUAGAGGCAGGAAAAGUUUGGCAAGAGCUCUAAAACCUUGUCUGCCUUAGUAGUUGAAGAAAUGUUACAGAUCCUCAACUAGAUUUAGAGAGGUGGGUUGGGACUUUGUUUUAGUUUUAUAUUUUUGGUCAUCAGUGGUGGACUUGUUUAAUAUAAUUGGACUUAUACAUCUUGUAAGCUUCUUCCUAUGGAUGUUAUCUUCUUCGUUUUUCUAGGUCCACAUCAUAGCAAACAAAAAGAAGAAGAUCAAGAAGAAAACAACAACAACAUCCAAUUGCUAUUGAAAAACGAAGAGAUCUACAUCCAACAGCACCGCCACCAACCGAGGGUUCGAGAUAUGGCCUGAUCAUCAUCAACCAAGCUACUACUCCUUCGGUUUGGGUCCAUCUAGUGAGAGAAACACCACCACAAACCCAAGCGACGACGUUUCGGUGUCUUUCUCUGAUGAGUCGAAUCGGAUCGGGUUCACCGUGAUCUGGUCUUCUUCGUCUGGAUCGAGUCUAGGAAGCGGCACAAAUUGCAGAGACUGCGUUAACCAAGCCAAGAAAGACUGCCUCCACCUUCGCUGCCGAACCUGCUGCCGAAGCCGAGGGUUUCAAUGUUCUACUCCAAUUCAACACAAUCAGAAGUAGAAUCGUCGACCACCAUGGUUUUUGCUCUAUUGAGUUUUAUGCGUGUAUAAUUUCAUUCACUAAUGAGUAAUGAUUAUGUUUGUUGUUGUUGUUACUAUGCA